UGCCGGGGAAGUGGCGCGCGGGGCUCCCGGCUUCCCAGCCCCCUUCCGGCAGGCAGGAGCCCAGGCGGCGGACACACUCCGUGAUCCCCUUCUGGCUGGAGGGGUCAGGCUUGGUGGACCCAGCAAGCAGCCUGAUGGAGUAGGGGGCACCAGACGCAGACCCGUACCGUCCAGGACUGCAAGCCCUCGCCGGCUCUGCGAGCUUUUAGGUUUCGUCUCUACCUCUGCACACCCACACUCGCCUCCUGGGCCGCGACAGCUUCCUCCUGUCAAUCAGGUCUUCCGUAAUGUCAGCAGUGGACUCGUGUGCUUAAGGAGAGAGAGAUUUGGAAAAUACAGACAGAGAACAAGGCCAUGUGGAGACAGAGGCAGAGACUGAAGUUGUGCCACCAAAGGCAAAGAAUAUCAAGUAUCGUCAGUAACCCCAGGAAGCUAGAAGAGGCCAGGAAAGAUUUUUCUUAGAGACCUUGGAAGGAGCCUGACCCUGGAACACCCUGAAUUUAGACUUCUGGCCCCCCAAAACUGUGAAAGAAUAAAUUUCUGUUGUUUUAAGCAA
This is a non-coding RNA of Macaca mulatta (Rhesus monkey), 556 nucleotides long. Lineage: Eukaryota; Metazoa; Chordata; Mammalia; Primates; Cercopithecidae. The record is from RefSeq and is a predicted model, not a curated record.